AGGACGAACGCUGGCGGCGCGCCUCACACAUGCAAGUCGAGCGAGAACCAGGGCUUCGGCCCUGGGGACAGCGGCGAACGGGUGCGUAACACGUGAGCAACCUGCCCCGAAGACCGGGACAAGCCGGGGAAACCUGGUCUAAUACCGGAUGUCCUCUCCUGGUCGCAUGGCCGGGUGAGGAAAUGGAUUCCGCUUCGGGAUGGGCUCGCGGUCUAUCAGCUUGUUGGUGGGGUAACGGCCUACCAAGGCGACGACGGAUAGCUGGUCUGAGAGGACGAUCAGCCACACUGGGACUGAGACACGGCCCAGACUCCUACGGGAGGCAGCAGUGGGGAAUCUUGCGCAAUGGGGGAAACCCUGAACGCAGCGACGCCGCGUGCGGGAUGAAGGCCUUCGGGUUGUAAACCGCUUUCAGCAGGGACGAAAUUGACGGUACCUGCAGAAGAAGGCCCGGCCAACUACGUGCCAGCAGCCGC
Molecule: ribosomal RNA, 476 nt
Filed under: uncultured bacterium
Lineage: Bacteria
Description: bacterial SSU rRNA
Rfam family: Bacterial small subunit ribosomal RNA
Source: RNAcentral